This is a long non-coding RNA of Triticum dicoccoides, 528 nucleotides long. RefSeq lists it as uncharacterized. The record is from RefSeq and is a predicted model, not a curated record. The transcript is spliced from 2 exons. NCBI's taxonomy places the organism in Eukaryota, Viridiplantae, Streptophyta, Magnoliopsida, Poales, Poaceae.
CAAAACUCACAACCAGGGCUUAAAUACAAAACAAAUUGUUACUUGCCAAGGGUAUCUAUCCUCCAUGGUGCUUUUCAAGGACCCGAGGGCUGUCUUUUUGGCGGCCAUUGUGGUGACCGCAAUGGUCAUGCCAUCAUGCUAUGUUGCACAAGGUGUAGGGGUAUGCAACCAGAUCUUACCAUGCACGGACAACACGUGCAAAGUCUACUGCCAGAAAUUGGGGUACAGGUUCUCCAAGGCACAGUGCAAGCCUGGGAACCUGAAGAAAGGUGUGUCCUAUGACAACUGCUGUUGUCUAAAGUUAGAACCCGUCAUCCACGGGUAGUCCUCGGACUCGAACUGAUCUAUCGGUUUCACCUUUGCUUGUGAAGACAUAUCGAUCGAUCAAGUUUGACUUCAUCCUCAUAACGAUUGUUGAAAUGUUUAUCCAGCCGUCUCGAUCUUGUGUGUAACUCAUUAUUAAUAUGGUGAACGAUUGUGGUGUUCAAGAUAAUAAAGAUACUAUUGCAGCAGGGAGUACACCUGACA